UGUGCUGCUGGCUUGGGAAAAUGAGGCCUUCCUCUCCUUAAGGGAAUUCGGGGAAGAUAAAUUUGAAAUUGUGGUUCCUUCCCUCAGCAUCCUGGCC
RNAcentral lists this transfer RNA (97 nucleotides) under bioreactor metagenome. RNAcentral's name for it is "tRNA-Arg". The record is from RNAcentral.